This 371-nucleotide ribosomal RNA is filed under the name uncultured organism. Its description in RNAcentral is "bacterial SSU rRNA". It matches the Rfam family "Bacterial small subunit ribosomal RNA", at positions 526 to 896 of the family's 1533-position model. The record is from RNAcentral.
CGUAGGGUGCGAGCGUUAAUCGGAAUUACUGGGCGUAAAGCGUGCGCAGGCGGUUUUGUAAGACAGAUGUGAAAUCCCCCGGGCUCAACCUGGGACCCGCAUUUGUGACUGCAAGGCUAGAGUACGGUAGAGGGGGAUGGAAUUCCGCGUGUAGCAGUGAAAUGCGUAGAUAUGCGGAGGAACACCGAUGGCGAAGGCAAUCCCCUGGACCUGUACUGACGCUCAUGCACGAAAGCGUGGGGAGCAAACAGGAUUAGAUACCCUGGUAGUCCACGCCCUAAACGAUGUCAACUGGUUGUUGGGUCUUUACUGACUCAGUAACGAAGCUAACGCGUGAAGUUGACCGCCUGGGGAGUACGGCCGCAAGGUUG